CCUACACAUGCAAGUCGAACGAAGUAGCAAUACUUAGUGGCAGACGGGUGAGUAACAUGUAGGUAUCUGCCCUUUGGCCUGGAAUAACACGAGGAAACUUGUGCUAAUACCGGAUAAGUCUUUACGGAGAAAGCUUUAUGCACCAUUGGAUGAGCCUGCACUUGAUUAGUUUGUUGGUGGGGUAAUGGCCUACCAAGACUGUGAUCAAUAGCUGAUUUGAGAGGAUGAUCAGCCACAUUGGGACUGAGACACGGCCCAAACUCCUACGGGAGGCAGCAGUGGGGAAUCUUGCACAAUGGAGGAAACUCUGAUGCAGCGAUGCCGCGUGAGUGAAGAAGGCCCUUGGGUUGUAAAGCUCUUUCGUCGGGGAAGAAAAUGACUGUACCCGAAUAAGAAGGUCCGGCUAACUUCGUGCCAGCAGCCGCGGUAAUACGAAGGGACCUAGCGUAGUUCGGAAUUACUGGGCUUAAAGAGUUCGUAGGUGGUUGAAAAAGUUAGUGGUGAAAUCCCAGAGCUUAACUCUGGAACUGCCAUUAAAACUUUUCAGCUAGAGUAUGAUAGAGGAAAGCAGAAUUUCUAGUGUAGAGGUGAAAUUCGUAGAUAUUAGAAAGAAUACCAAUUGCGAAGGCAGCUUUCUGGAUCAUUACUGACACUGAGGAACGAAAGCAUGGGUAGCGAAGAGGAUUAGAUACCCUCGUAGUCCAUGCCGUAAACGAUGUGUGUUAGACGUUGGAGAUUUAUUUUCAGUGUCGCAGCGAAAGCGAUAAACACACCGCCUGGGGAGUACGACCGCAAGGUUAAAACUCAAAGGAAUUGACGGGGGCCCGCACAAGCGGUGGAUUAUGUGGUUUAAUU
Molecule: ribosomal RNA, 855 nt
Filed under: uncultured Alphaproteobacteria bacterium
Lineage: Bacteria; Pseudomonadati; Pseudomonadota; Alphaproteobacteria
Description: bacterial SSU rRNA
Rfam family: Bacterial small subunit ribosomal RNA
Source: RNAcentral